UACGAAGGUGGCUAGCGUUGUUCGGAUUUAUUGGGCGUAAAGGGUCCGCAGGCGGUUUGGAAAGUCAGAUGUGAAAUCCCACAGCUUAACUGUGGACACGCAUUUGAAACUUCCAGACUAGAGUGUGAGAGGGGUGAAUGGAAUUUCCAGUGUAGGGGUGAAAUCCGUAGAUAUUGGAAAGAACACCGGCCGCGAAGGCGAUUCACUGGCUCAUUACUGACGCUCAGGGACGAAAGCCAGGGGAGCAAACGGG
Molecule: ribosomal RNA, 253 nt
Filed under: uncultured bacterium
Lineage: Bacteria
Description: partial 16S ribosomal RNA
Rfam family: Bacterial small subunit ribosomal RNA
Source: RNAcentral